Molecule: non-coding RNA, 15991 nt
Organism: Monodelphis domestica (gray short-tailed opossum)
Lineage: Eukaryota; Metazoa; Chordata; Mammalia; Didelphimorphia; Didelphidae
Source: RefSeq, a predicted model, not a curated record
GCUAGAGUUCAGUUCGAGGCUGAUGCUUGAGGUUGGAGGAGCCCCGCAGACUGCUUUCCUUCAGAUUGAUCACACUCCACCAGGACAGAUAUGUAUCAUUUCUUCUUUGGUGUCUGCCUUUGGCAUCUAGCACAAGCCUAUGAGUAGGAUGGAAAACUAAGUGAUUCAAGAAGUAGACAGGAAGUUAAUCCUCAAGCUGGGUAAGCUGCUUGAAGCCCAAAAGUGUUUGACACUUCUGCCUUAACACAGCACAAAAAUAUCAGCAGAAGCUGGACCCAAAUAGGCAGUGUUCGCUCUUAAGAUUCGUAGGAAUGUUCCAAAUCAGAACCACCUACUAUAUGCUAAGAACUCUGGGUGCUGUGAUUCAGCUAAAGUAGGAGGGAGCAGACCAAGAAAACCUGGCAACAAUAUAAAGUCAAAAAGGAACCUGUUCAAAUACAAAAUAAAAUCAGAAUCAGGGGAAAAAAAACAAUCUUCAAAAACUACUGUGGUGAAGGGAAGUAACUUCUUAAAAAGCACCAUUCAAUACCUUGAUGCUGUUUCUAAUGGCAAGUGCUAAGAACCACAGAAUCUUAUAGUUGAAAGAUACCUUAGAGAUUAUCUAGCCCAAACUCUAAAUUUGUAAGGAAUCCAGACUCUGUUUGAAGAUCUCUAGCAAUAAGAAACUCAAUGGUCCCAAGAGCAACCCAUACCAUUUUUAAACAGGCAUAAUUUUUUUUUCUCAUGCUGACCCAAAAUCGAUAACUCUAUAAUUUCUCUAGUUGGUCUUAGCCUUGUCUUCCAAGGCCAAGAAGUUAAAUUAAAUACCUCUUAAAGAUGACAAUCCUUCCCAUAACUAAAAACAAAUGCACUCUCUCCAAAUCUCAUCUUUUCUUCUCCAGGCCAAACAUCCAUUCAGUUCCUUCAAUUGGUCUUGGCUUGAUUUCAAGUAUGUUCAUCAUCUUAGCUACCUUUCUCUUGAUACAGCCCAACUUCUAAAAAACUAUUCUAAAAUGCUGUGCCAAGAACAGGAAGCAACACUUCAGAUUAUGUCUAGUCAGGACAAAGUACAAAAAUACAAUGAGAUUAUCAUCUCUCAAUAGUAUACUUCUAAACUAGGUUCUAAGAUUACAUUAGUUCUUUUGGCUGCCAUGUCACCCUGGUGACUCAUUUUGAGCAUAGUUAUUUUUCACAUGAACUAAUGGGUCUCCUUCUGUCCUAUUGCUGUUAGUUUUCUUAAAUUGAUGCAAUAUCUUACAUUUAGGUCUAUUUUACUUCCUCUUGUUAAUUUCAGCCCAUCAUUCCAAAUUCUCCUAAUCUAGACCCCAAUAUAUAAACAAGCCCUACCAACUUUGCUAGGGCAGCUCAGAGGCCCAGUGAAUAAAUGUUAAAACCUCUUCUUGAAUUCAAAUCCAGCCUCAGACAUUUACCAACUGUGUGACCCUGGGUAAGGUCUCCGUUUCUAUAAAAUGAGCUGAAGACAGAAAUGGCAAAACAUCCAACAUCAGACAUGACCCACGAACAAACGACCACCUUUGUGCUAAAUUUAAUAACCACAUCUAAGCCUCCCUCUAAAUCAAGUGUCCAAUCACUAAUAUAACUACAAGUACUCAAUCAAGCAUAUAUUAAGGAUUUUGGAGGGAACUAUCUUCAAUCCAUCAAUCCCUUCAAAUACAGAUUUGCUGUGUAAUCGACCAAAUUAUUUCACUACUGUGGGACUCGGUUUCCAAAUUUAUGAGGUUGACUACAUGGUCUCGGAAGUCCUAAGAUUGGUAGCUAGGUAGAACCCUCCAUCCUCCUCAUUCAGCUCAUGUUCCAGACGUAGUCCUAGGGUGGUUCAAUGCCAUGGAGGGGGUGACCAGGUUAGGAAAUUCAAAUGUCCUGACUCCCAGGCCGGGACUCUUUCCACUAGCCCCUUUGUAAGAUAGUCCGUUCCAAAAGAGGACUGGAAACCAAUUCUAGAGAUGGGGCAAUGUGGGGAGCAAAAAGCCAAAAUCAUCACGGGGAAAGAGGGAGGGCUGAAAGUUUAUGCCUGAAGUUUUUUGCAAAGGGGCGAGGCUUGUUUUAGCCUUUCCUGACUGCCGCAGGUACACGCCUCCUGCUCCUAAAUUCUGCAUGUGAGUUAUAAGUGUCUGAGACGCCUAACAUAGGGGGUGGCGGGCUGAGGUGUGCCCUAUUUACCUCACAUUCACACCCGCAACAAGACGGCCUGAUACUGUGAAAAUGUCUCACUACGGAUUUUUCCGCCCUGAAGCUCCAGUCAAUCCAGGAGCCGAAGUGAAGUUCCUAGCGGCCACGAGUCCGCCUCGGGAGGGGAGGAGGGAGAGCGCGUGAACAACCCCGGAGCUCACCUUCCCGCCCGGCGUGCGGGGAGGCCCGGGAUUCCGUCUACCAGCGGCCUUCCGGUUCGGACCGGAAGCUGUUCAAACGCAGCAAACCCCGCCACCAGCCUUCCCUACGCAGUGGGCGUCACGAGGAUUCAAGUGCAGCGAGAAAAAAAAGGCGGAGGAAAAACGUUACUGAAAGUUAAGGGAUGCCUGGGCGGGACUAGGACGGGCGGUGCCGGGAACAAAUGGUAAAGCAGAGGUGGGACCAAGAGGCGGACCGAGGGAAAAGGAGUAGCCAUAUUGGAGAAAAAUGAAGGCAGGCGAGAGGAGGGGCGGGGUAGGAGGAGCGGGUAGGAUGAAGUUUUGGCCAUUCCAGAGGCCAAUGAGGAAGUCAGAACUGAAAAGGGAGGGGCCUGGCCGAGACUGAGAUAGUAGCCAAGGAGUUAGUGGUUCAAAUACUAUUGUGAGGCAUGAGCAAACGGGGGUGGAGCCAAGAAGCAGCUAGGGGUUGGGUACGAGAGAUGCCUCUUGUUUCCUGGGCCUAAUUUUCAUCCUUCCUCUCUUUUUUCUGCACUAGGAAUGUUCGGUGCGAGGGAAGGGUUAAAUUUAAUAACACACUUAAAAGAUUUGAGGAUUUCAGGCACUGUGCUAUAUCCAGGGGAUGCAAAUACAAUGAAUUAAACCAUCCUUAUUCAGGACAAAAUUACAUGCUCAUGAAGGAGAAAAAGAUAUAUGUUAAAAUAUCAGAAUAAAUAUAAAGCAAUACAAAAUAGUAAACUACAGGUACAGGUACCUUGGGUAGGAGGGCAUUAGCAAGUAGGGGGAAUCAGGAAAAGCUCCACAAAGAAAGCAAUGUCUAAGCACCUUCUUGAAGAAGGACUAGAAUUCUCUAGGCAGAAGUAAGACAAGGGAGUGCAUUCCAGGUAUAAGAGUACCAGAGUGAAAGCAAAGGUAUGGGAGAGGACAUAUGUGUAAGAAACACAGAGAAAGCCAGUGUGAUGGGAUCACAGAGUACAAAAUGCAAAUAGUGUACAAUGAGGCAGGAAAGAUAAGCUAAAACAAAGUUAUCAGGAGCUGUAAAAGCUAAAUAGAGGAAUUUAUAUUUGAUGGUAAAGGGUAUAGGAAGCCACAGAAGUUGAGUAAGUGAAAGGAGAUAGUGCUUUACAAAUAUGAUUUCAUUUGAUCCUCACAACAACCCUGUGAGGUAGGGGCUGUUAUUAUCCCCAUUUACAGUUAAAAAUUGAAGCAGAGGUUUUACAGUUAAAAAUUGAAGCAGAGGUUAAGUGACUUAUCCAAAAUCACACAGGUAACAAGUAGAGGUGGUUGGAUUUGAAUUUGGCUCUUCCUGACUCCAAACCCAAUAUUGUAUCCACUGUACCACCCAGCUGCUGCUAAGAGAGCAAGCUAAUAUAAUAGAAUUCUGGACACAAAGAAACCAUUUUGGCAGCAGAUGAACUGAAGUAGGAGAUGGGGAGAUUUAAUAUAGGGAUACCAAUUAGGAGGGGCCUGCAAUAAUCUAGGCAAGAGCAGGUGAGGGCUUACACUAAAAUGGUAGCUAAGUAACAAAAGGAGGGUGAUAUAUGGUACAAUGGAUAGAGUGGCAGGCCUGACGUGAAGAGGACCUGAAUUCAAAAUUGACCUUAAACACUUAAUAACUGUGUGACUUUUGCUAAGUCAAUCAACCUGUUUGCCUGUAAAAAUGAGGAGGGAAGGAAAUAAAUCACUCCAAUACUACAUUUGCCAAGAAAACCCAAAUAAGGUCAUGAAGACUGUUAAGAUUAAAAUUUAGGGGAAACUGAGGCAAUUAGAAAUUAGUUUCUCUCUUAAAGGAGUAUUAUAUUUUUAGAGGUUUAUUAAAGGUUAAGGAUUAAAGAAAAUACAGAAUAAGAAAACACAUGUCUAGGCCUACCUCACCUACAUUAUGAAAGGAGCUGCAAGCGGAAACAAGAAAGAAAAAAAGAGACCAAAAGCCUUUCCAAUCAGGUUAAAUACCCCAUCUUGAUCUUGGCCCAGGUGAGGUUACGAGGCAUUCUGGGGAAGUGAAGCAAGGACUUCUGGGGAUUGAAGUCCUGGAUUCAAGUCUCCAUUUUUACAAGACUCAGACACAAAUGAACAUAAAACAAAUGUAAAUAAAGAGAAGGAAUCCUAUGCAACAGAUGUUUUAGAGGUAGAAAUGGCAAGAUCUAGUAACUGAUAAGAUAUUUGGGGUGAGGGAACAUGAAGAAUGGAAGAUAAUCCAAAAUUACAAAUGUGGAUGUGAAGAAAAGUGCCUUCAUUAGAAAUAUGAAAAUUUAGAACAGGAGUGAGUUGGGUAGAAGAGAUCAUGAGUUCUUUUUUAAACAUGUUGAAUUUCAAAUGUCUCUUAAGACAUGCAAUUUGAAAUAUCCAACUGGCAAUCUGUAAUAGGGGGAUCUGAAGUUUUGGAGAGAGACUGAAACUGAAUAUAUAGAUUUGGGACUUAUUAGCAAAAAGAUAAUUAAACUUAUGGGAGAUGAUGAGGCCAGAGAGAGGGGAAAAGGGAGAAAGAGCAAAAAAAGUUUAAGAGGGUAGGGAAAGAGACAGAGACAGAGACAAAAAAUAAAAAAAAGGAAGGGAAUGAGCAUUUAGAUAGCACCUACUAUAUGGCAAAGACUAUGCUAAACACUUUACAAAUAUUAUCUCACUUGAACUUAACAAGGGAAGAGGGAAGAGAAUAAGCAUUUCUAUGGGUCUUACUUUGUGCCAAUCACUGUGCUAGCUUCUUACAAAUAUAUCAUUUGAUCCACUCUGCGAGGUAAAGGUUAUUAUUUCCAUUUUACAAUUGAGGAAACUGAGGUAGAGGUUAAGUGACUUGCCCAGGGUCACAUAGCUAAUAAGUUCACAUAGCUAAUAAGUUUCUAAGGCUAAAUCUGAACCUAGGUUUUCCUUAUCACUGUAUUCAUGGUGCUACCUAGGUACCUCUAAGACAGUGAAGACAAACCUUUUAGAGACUGAGUGCCAUGCCACACAUUCUACCAAGUGUCAGGCACUCCCCUACUCCCCCUUAUCCUACACAGAGGAGGGAGAAAGCCCUUCCAUGAGGCUGUUUAUAGGAAUUGCCUGCAGUUCCUAUAUAAUAAAGUUGUGGGUGGUGACCUGAGAAGGAGAAAGGAGACUGGAGGAAAAGGGGUGAAUAGAAAAUAGAGAUAGAGGGAGAAACACCAGAAUAAAGAAUCAGAGACAAGUUAAAACACACGGGGAGUCGCGAUCUCCUUGAAUCCUUCCCAUUGGCAAGGGUGCCAGAGAAUUAAUGGGAAAUAUGAGGAACAAGAAAACAUGUGGGGAGUAAGAACUCCUUAAUGCUUCCCAUGGGCAAGAGUAUCAGAGAAUUAAUGGAAAGCAUGGGGGUGACAGCGUCGCAAGAAAUGAGAGGUCAGGCGGAACAAGAUAGAAAAGAACAUCUAGAGCAAUCAGAAGAUCCAAAGAGGAUCAAGAGCAUGAUCCAGAGAUGUAAGAGAGGGAGUCGCACUUGUUCCCCAGCUUUUAUUGGAGAUUCUAGGAAUGUCAAGUGGAAGGUAAUUAAUGAAUAAUAACAUGGCAUAGGUUUUAACACUGGUUGAAUUGACAAUGACGAAAUCAAAGAGGUGGAGAUUAACCUGACAUGUGCUUUGGAAAGGAAUGUGGUCUGACAAGCUGUGAGCUAGGAUAUUGCUGCUGGUAACUUCCUGCUCAGGAAUUCUCUUGUCGUUAGGACUGAAGAUUUAGAAAUGCAAUAACCAAUAUUUAACAUGGCCAUGAGUCUGGCAUAUGAAUACAUAAGAUACAAUAUCAAUACAUCAAUCAUACUUCCAAGAUGCUAAUAUGCCUGAUAUGCUAUACUGCUGGGCAGAGGGGCUGGUGAAGUAAGAAAUGUCCUCAGUGAGUGUAGAGAAUGGGAGUGGACAAAAUGCUCUGCUCCCUCCAGCUCUUCUACCUGGAUUGCUAGGUAGAGGGGCAGGUCAUGUGAAAAAAUAUCAGGCUCAGUGGAGAGGGGGAGGGGAGCAGCUUUGCAGGGGUCCCUCUAACAUUUCUAGUAAUAUACUGUGGCAGGAGAAGAAGGGGCAGGGAGAGGCAUGUGUCCCCACAGAGAGUGCUCUGUGCCAUCAUUGGCACAUGUACCAUAUGUUCACCAUCACAGCUCUAGGGAGACUGAGAAUGGAUGGGUAGAUAAGUAGAAGGAAAAUCAGUGAAGUGCAGUGUCACAAAAACUUGAAGAAAAUAAAGUAUCCAAGAGAGAGGUCAAUGGUGUCAACAACAUCAAACAGUUUGAAAGGAUGAGAAUUGAGAAAAUACCAUUGGAUUUGGCAAUGAAAAUAUAAUUGGUAGCUAUGGAGAAAGUAAUUUGAGUUGAGUGAUAAAGUCAGAAGCCAGAAAGUGAAGGAGUGAUAGGAGAGGAAGUAUAGGCAUCAAAACUAGUGUAGAUUUUGGGGGGUUCCCAUCUCUCCCUCCCACAGGAGUUUGGCUGAGAGAAGAGAGAUUUCUAAUAAUAGUUUAAAGUGGUCAGGAUUAGUGAAGGCUUUUUGUGAACUAAGAAAAUGUAUGCAUAUUUGAAAGUGGUGGACAAAACCAGUAUACAAAAGUUGCAAACUAGUGAGCAAAGGAUAAUUGAGCUUGUAAACUAUUGAAGAAGUUGGAAGGGAAUGAAAUCAAAGACACAUAAAGAAGAGUUGGUGUUGACCAGGAAAAGACCCAUCUCAUCAAAGACUGGAAGAAAGGAAAAAAGGGUAUAAUGUUAAAAGAUUUUUUUUUAAUGAAGAAAAAGGACUAAAGAUAGUUUUAAUUUUUUCAUCUGAGAAUUUCCUCUUCAGAUCCUUUGACCUUUUGUUAACUGAGGAAUGCUUUGUAUUCUUAAAAAUUUGAAUCAUUUCUCUAUAUAUUUCAUAAAGGCCUUUUUUUUUCAGAAACAUUGCUAUAAAAGCAUUUUCCCACUUUAUUGUUUCCUUUCUCAUUUUGGUUGUAUUGGUUUUAUUUAUGUAAAAACAUUUCGAUUUAAUGUGCUCAGAAUUAUCUAUUUUACAUCUCAUAAUGUUUUCUAAUAUAUAUUCUUCCCUUCUCAAUAGAUCUGACAGGUAAACUAUUCUAUGCUCUUCUAAUUUAUUUAUGGUUUCACCCUUUAUUUUCAAAUCAUGUAUCCAUUUUGACUUUAUUUUGAUAUAAGGUGUGAGAUGUUGUUCUAUGCCUAAUUCCUUCCAAACUGUUUUCAAGUUUUCCAAGCAGUUUUUAUAGAAUAGUAAGUUCUUCCAAAAGCUUGGGUUUUGGGGUUUGUCAAACGCUAGGUUACUAUAGUUAUUUAUAACUGCCUAUGGAAGGACUAAUCUAUUCCAUUGCUCUGCUACCCUAUUUCUUAGUCAAUACCAGAUUGUUUUGAUGGUUGCUGAUUUAUACUACAAGUUGAGGUCUGAUAUGGUUAAGCUUCCUUCAUUUUCCCCACCAUUAAUUCCCUGGAUAUCCUUGGCCUUUUGUUCUUCCACAUGAAUUUUAUCACUUUUAUCACUUUGACAUAAUUUUUUUAUGUAGUUUUAUUGGGAUAGUAUUGAAUAAGUAAAUUAAUAUAGGUAGAAUUAUCAUUUUUAUUUUAUCAGAGCUUAGCCUAUCUGUGAUCAAUUUAUGUUUUUCCAUUUCUUUAGAUAUGACUUUAUUUGUGUGAAAAGUAUUUUGUAGUGAUCAUAGAGUUCCUGGGUUUGUCUUGACAAAAUCACUAAUUCAAAUCACUAUUAAUUAGAGAAAUUGUAAAAGAUAAUUUUAGAGUUGUGACCUAACUAUAUUAAUUAUUGGUCACCAUGGAUAUCCCAAAUUAAAAAAAAAAAGUCAGCUGGAAAUUUAUGGUUAUUUAAUUAAUAUAGUGGAAAGAAAUUAAGAAGGAAGAAGGAAAGGGUAUAGGACUUCUCCUGCCUGGCUUGUGCCAGGAAGAAGACCAGGGGCUCUAGGAAGGUAAGGUUUUGGAGAGUAAAGGAGGAAGGAAUCAGCCUGAACUCCAAGAGAGCUCAGCUAAGAUGCCUGAACCUGAAUCAGCUCAAGGGCAAACCCACCACCAAAACCCAGACAAAUAGCUGCCACCAUGCCAAGAUAUCAGAACACUUAGCAUGCUGUCAGCCAGAGUCACCUCUCCGGGAAAAGAAAGUGAAGAAAGGAAGUGAUGUGCCUUAUAUAGAUGGUUUUACAUCACUUUCCUGUAUCUCAUCUGUACCAAUGAUAACUUAGCUUGACUUAGGACAGCCCAGGGGUCUGUCAACUGUUUCUGCACAUGUCUGUUGAAGGCCAUCUUCUUAGAUACUUAAUCCUUGAGUAUGGGUGCAGACAUUCCUGACCUUGUUAAACUAAGUAGGUAGGAGCAAUGUAGAGUUCCCAAGACCUGAUUCUGUUAAACCAAGUACCUCCAUUGUUACAAAUCAGGAAAUAGCUAAAUCAAAUCUUCUAAAGUAUAGUAUGAGUAGGGUGGAGUAGUUUUAAAAUUCACAACUCUGAGGUAACACCUCACACCUCUCAAUCUGACUAAUGAGACAAAAAAAAAUAUGAUUAAUGUUGGAGGUGAUGUGGAACAAUUGGGACACUAAUACACUGUUGGUAGAGCUGUGAACUGAUACAAUCAUUCUAGAGAACAAUGGAACAAUGCCCAAAGGGUCAUAAAACUGUACAUAUCCUUUGACCCAGCAAUAUCACUCUAAGUCUAUAUCUGUCCCAAAUAGAUCAAAGGUAGGGGGAAAGAAACCCACAUGUACAAAAAUAUUUAUAGCAGAUCUUGUGUUUGAACUUGUUUCCCUGUAGCUCUGAUGCUUUCAUCAAGAAUGCUUAGAAGUCUUGAUUUUUUUAAUCCCUUUUUUCCUGUAGUAUUAUAUACAGUAUUCAGUUUUUCUGAGUAAGUUAGGCUCAUAUCCUUUGCCUCCUGGAAUAUCAUAUUCCAAGUUUUCCACUCCUUUAGAGUAGUGACUGCUAAGUUAUGUGUGAUCCUGACUGUGGCUCCUUAAUAUUUAAAUUCUUACUGGUUACUUGCAGUAUUUGUUCUUUGACAGGAAGCUCUAGAUUUUGGCUAUGAUGUUUGAACUUUCUUUCAAAAGAUGGCUGCUAGAUUCUUGUCAUUUCCUCUCUGCCCUCUAGUUCCAAGAGAUCUUGAGAAAUUUUAAGAUUUCUUGAAAUAUGAUGUCUAGGUUCUUUUUUGGCCCUGGCCAAAAUGAAUAUCCACUCAUGGCCCAAUGUUUCUCCAAAGCACUAGGUAUCAUCAUGAAUCUUCUGGAAGCAGAUUCCCCAGGGUCUUCCUUAUAGGGAAUUGUAUCAGUUGUACUCUAUACAUGCUCAUAAGAAUUGGGCUUAUUGUCCAGGCUAUUGUUAAACUUAAAAAUAAUUAACUUAUCCUAAUUCUUUUUUUCUAGAUAAAAUACAUUCAGUUCUCUUAAAUAUGUUUGCUUUGAAACGAAUUCUAAGAAUGUCACCAUAUUAUCCACUUUAUACAGUUUUUAUACAAAAAUUUCUUAGGUUCUCAUCAUGUACAAGACAUUAUGUAUAUGGAUAUAAAAGAAAACAAAGUUCAUUCUUACAAGAAGCUUACAAUCUAACCCAGUGUAAUUGCUCGUAGACUCUAGGAGAAGUGAGGGAAAAACGUGAAUCAUGUAAGCAUGGAAAAAUACUCUAAUUAAAUAAAUAAUUUUUUUAAUUAAAAAAAGCUUACAGUCUAAAGGAGGGGUGGGUGAGACAUAUUCAAAAAUAUCUAUAAUACCAAUUUGAAAAUAGAUAAGUAUAUUUGGGAGAAGCCAGUAAAUGCCCGAAGAGAUUCGAGAAGAAAGCUUUCUCUUCUAAAUUGUGAGAUUUAAAAUGGUGGAGGUCUUAAACUGUAGUGAUUAAAAUAGUGGAAGAUAUAAAUUGUGAUAGAUAUAAGAGAGGGUGAGUCAAUUUGACCGCAGAAAUAUGUUUCACUACAGUGUCUUGGGUUUAAAAUCAAAUAUAAGGUGGUCACCAGGGAAAUAUUCCCAAUUAUUCAAAUACCCAAGUCAAUUGGGUUUUAUAGAGAUUUUAAUUAACAAUACAAUGAGUAAUCAAAGAAGGAGAGAGAGAGUAAGAAAAGAAUCAGUUUUUUAACACUCACCACAAGGUCUGACUAAACAAGGAUUUCUAAUGCCAGGCCAGCAGCAUCUCAGCUGCUUUCACCAGCUCCCUCCUCCAUCUGAAUGUUUCAGAAUCAGUCUCCUCAGAAUGAGUCUCUCCAAUCUGAAUGUUUCAGAAUGACUUUUUAGCUCUUCCCUGAGCUCUUAUUUUUAAGGGCAAAAUUUCCUCUGUCACCUCCCCCAAGUCCUUACAUCUACCAAUCACUGUAGAUGUUUCUAAAGGACCGCCCAUUCUUAGUCCACACCUAAGAAGGUGUGGAUUUUUGAGUAAAUCACACCAGGAAAGCUCUGAGGAAGUUUUCCAGUUCUUUGUUCCUUGUAAAUUCACAAGUUGCUUGACCUUUAUAGGUACUUCGCUUAAGAAAAGUAUGGGUUUAAGUACUUUUCAUUGUUCAGAAAAGAGUUUACAACUUUAUCUUCCCCUAGGGCAGACCCAAGUAGGUAAAGUAGAAUUCUCACAUUCCAGCUUUAAGUAGAGUUCACUGCCCAAAUGGGGAAUGGUCUUAAUCCAAUCUUAUAAAGUAGGGUCUGGGAAAUUUUAAGGUUUACAAAAUGGGGGCAUUAGGAAAGCUUACCAAGAGAUAGUUGUACCUGAGCUGGCCCUUAAAAGAAUGGGAUUUCUAUAGUAGGAGAGACCUCUCAUUCCCAGGAUACAAGCCAGCAUAUGAAAUGCCUGAAAGUGGGAGGAAGCAAGACACAUUGAAAAACAAUGAAUUAAGGAUGGCUAUGGAGUAUAGAGCCUGAAGAAAAGUGGUGUUACAUGACUAGAAAGGUAGAAGGGAUGUGAAUCAUAAAAGUUUAGAUAGCAGACCUUUGAAAGAGAAUUUAAAAGAUCAUCUAGUCUAUCUCCAUUAUUUUAAAAAUAAGGAAACUAAAGUAUAAUAGUGUUUAAGUGGUUUACCCAAGAACAGUCAUAGAACAUGUGGCAGAAACAACAUUUGAACUCAUGUGUUUUGAUGCCAAAUGAAAUUCGUUUUUCUACUAUAUUAGCAUACUAAUUGGAUUGGAAUACUUUUGGAUUAGGCAAUAGAAAGCUACUGAAGGCUUGUGAGUAAUCAAUCAAAAGUAUUUAUUAAACACCUAUUAUGUGCCAAGCAUUGUGCUAGGUGAUGAGGAUACAAGUACAAAGAACAAAAAUGCAAUGAUCUUACAUUUGAAUAGGAGAGAGAACAAGUAAAUUAUAUGUUUGUGUAUACACACACACACACACACACAUAGACAUAACAGAGUAGUUAAAUACAAGAAAAGACUCAAGCAGAUGUUAUUUAAGCUCCACCUUAAAGUAUUUGUGGUAUUUUAAAGUAUUAAAUAAUAUUUAAGUUAUGUCUAAAAGAAAGGAACUCUGAGGAAGAGUAAGUAGGAAGUGCACUCUACAAAUGGGAGGUAACUUAUGUAGUCACAGAGACAGGAGAUUGAAUGUUGUGUGUGGGGAACAAAAAGGAAUAAUAUAGCUAGAUCACAAGGUAUGGGAAGAGAAAUGAUGUCUGUGUAUUAGUAAAAUUGCUUUGGCUAUAGUGUGAAAAAUGAAUUAGAUAAGAAAGAUUGAUGGUAAGAAGAAUAAUUGAGAGACUAACAUAAUAGUUAUAAGUUAAGAAGUGAUAAUUAAGUAGUGAAGAGUGGAAUUACCUGAAGUAAUAGUGGAGAGGAAUUGGCAGGUGUGGAGAUGUUACUAAAGAAGAAUAGGAGCUGACUAUUAUGUAGUGAAGGUGGAAGUAGAGUUAGGAAGAGAUAAGAGACACUAAUGACUCUGUGGCUUUGAAUUUGGAUGUCAAGGAAAAUUGUGGUGCCAUCAAUAGAAACAGGAAAGUUGAGAGAGGGGACAAGUUUUGGAGGGAAGCUGGUAACUUCUGUUUCAGACGUGAGAUUGAGAUGUCAAUGGAACAUCCAGAAAGAAAUAUCCUUUAGGCAGAUAGAAGUAUGGGACAAAAAUUCAUAUGUGAGGUUGGGAUUAUAGCUAUAUUUGUAUUUGAAAGUCAUUUGCAUAUAAAUUAUCAUUCAAAUCAUGAUAUGGAUGAUUUUACCAUGUGGGAGAAAGUAAAAAAAAAACUGAGAAGAGGUCCAAGGACAAACUCUUCGGUUAUCCUGUUGUUAAACUGGAAAAAAAAACAUAGAACUAUUAAAUAGAGAAACCAAGUCUUUAAUCAGGACAGGGAUAAUGGUAUAAUCUUUAGGCCUCUACUCUGGCUACUCUGAGUACUGAUUCCUGGGAGAAAUCACAGAGUGAGAUGAUAGCCCAGAGGAACCAUGAAAACUGGGGAACUUAUAUAUCUCUUAGGAGAACUGAGCACCAGAUAAUAUUGUUGACUGACUUUAUAAUGGCUACAAAGAAAUGAGGAGUCCUAGAUAGGAUUUGGGAACAGCUGAUGCUUUACAAUGGGACACCAAAUGAAAAGAUCCAGCCAAGGGCUGGGCUACCUGAGAAAGGACUUUGAUACAAUGGGAGAAACUACCAGGACAGAAAGGAUAAUAAUAUCUGAUUAAGUCUGUUAGCUCCACCUGAAGUAUUUUGUUUAUUGUUAGUCUGAAACUCCUGAAGUUGGGAUUUCUCUCCAAAAUUCUCAUGUGAUAAGGUCAAACUUGGGGUCUUCAGACCUCAUACUGCUACAAACUUGGGGUUCUCUUAGAUUCUACUUUGACACUGUAUUUCAGGGACAGGAAAAGAAGUAAAGGAGAUUAAGGAUGAGCAUUUAGAUAAAUUGGAAGAAAACCAAAAAUGUCAAGAUUCUGAAAGCUUAGGGAAGAAAGACUAUGAAGAAGGAGGGGGUGAUCACCAUUGUCAGUGUCAAAUUCUAGAAAAAGGUCAUGAAAUGAAAGACAAUGAGAAAGUCAGUAGUGAUAGAGACUUGAUAUAAGGAAGUUUUCCUAACUAUAGCUCACCAAAAGUGAGAACUGGUACCUUUCCCUUUAAUAGAGGUGGUCAACAUGGAAUCUAGAAACCCCAAACUUGUAGCCUAGCAAGAUCUGACAAACCCCAAGUUUUAGGACUAGCUGUAAGUUGGAGACCCCAAAGUUUGUACUUGUUUCCUGUUCCCAUAAGAAUCACCCUGAAGGCUAGCAGUUUCAGACUGAAUAAUGAACUCUAUAAGGUAAAUGAUAAUCCCAGUUACAUGGAGCCAAGAAAAAGUUAAGUGCAUAGUAGGCAGCUUGUCAAUUUCAUAAACUGAAGGUCCUGAGCUCUAUCCUAAAAGGGGGCUGUGGUACAAUGGGAGAAGUUUCUGAAACUGCUAGCCUGAGAUUCCCUUCAGGGUAGAUUUUCAAGGGAACAGGGAACAAGUACAAGCUUUGGGGACUCCAACUUACAAGCUAGUCCUAAAACUUGGGGUUCAUCAGAUCUUACUAGGCUAUAAGUUUGGGGUUACUUCUUCAUGAAAAAGUGUCAACUAAUACCAGGUAACAAGUUGGCAGGAAACAAAGACAUGAGACUUAUCCAAGGUCAGAAAAAUAUGGAUUGGUUAUGGAUUACAGGAUCAAGAAAAUGGCAGAUUAGUUGCCUACCCCAUAGACAAACCCCCCAAAACAGGAUUUAUACACCAGAUUUAGAGCAAUUGGUCCUGAAUGGGGGGUGUGGGGGUGUGAAGGUGGGUCAGAGAUAAACCCCAUUCAUAUGGGAAAACCUUUAUUUAUUAAUCCUGCAGCAUGCUAAUUCUUUUUUUUUUAAACCCUUACCUUCUUGGAAUCAAUACAGGGUAUUGGUUCCAAGGCAGAAGAGUGGUAAGGGCUAUGCAAUGGGGGUCAAGUGAUUUGCCCAGGGUCACACAGCUGGGAAGUGUCUGAGGCCAAAUUUGAACCUAGGACCUCCCAUCUCUAGGACUGGCUCUCAAUCCACUGAGGUACCCAGCUGCCCCCAACAUGCUAAUUCUUAAAGCAAAUUACUCAAGAUCCUCCUUCCCCACUACAUCAUGCCUUACAGAAAUUCAUUAAUUGGGAUUCCUUUGUAUUUUCUGGUAUACUUCAACUUUUGCCCACUCCCUGGCUGGUACCAAAUUAUAGACAUUGAUUCUGCCCAGCUAUGUGAUGAUUGGGAGUGGGAAGUAUUCUACCUUCUUCCUGGGAUAUAUUCUAAGUUAAAAAAAAACUAAAGUAUGGCAAAACUCUAUCCAAAAGGCCCUCUGAAACUAUCCAUUUUCAAGUGAUGAACACUGAUUCAUCCCAAUCAGAGGCAAAAGCCAACAGAGGAACUGAGGUAAUAUACUGAUAUAUGUAGCUGUUAACUUGGGGAAAACAACUACUAAAGUAGUCAGAAAAACCAAGUCUUUAAUCAAGAAAGAGAUAGUGUUCAAUAUUUGGCCACCACUCAGAGUCAAGUGCCUAAAACCACAUAGAGCCAAAGGCUCUGGCAUUCUGGCAACAGUGUCUCUAAGAGGAUCACUGUACUGGAAGAUCCUCCGAAGAACAACAGAACUUGGGGAACUCAUAUACCUUUUGGGGAACUAAGGGACAGGGAAGUAUGAUUGAUUGACAUUACCAUGGUUAUAAGGAAACGAGAACUCCAAGCUACUCUAGGCUUGGGAAAGAAACCAUAGGGCUGGGGUAUCAGGGAGUAGCCUACUUACUUACAAUAGAUACUAAAUAGAUGGUCUUGGGAACAGAUCUCUGAUACAAUGGGGGAAACUUCAAAGACUAAAAGGGUACUUAACAUUUGAUUAGAUCUACUAGCCCCACCUAUGCUGGGAUUAUCAAGUACUUUAAGGUCUAUUGUUCAGUCUGAAACUGGUGAGUCUGAGAUCUCCAUCUGCCAAAUUCUCAUGGGAUAGGGGCAAACUUGGGGUCUCCAGAUUUCAAGUUGAUAUAGCUAUGCCAAAAAGAAAGUAUUAAAGCCCAACUAUAGCAAUUUUUGUCCUCCACUCUUCUCCCUAUAACCAGGGGUCCCCAAACUAUGGCCUAUGGGCCACAUGUGGCCUCCUGAGGCCAUUUGUCCAGUCCCCUCCGCACUUCCGAAAGGGGCACCUCUUUCAUUGGUGGUCAGUGAGCAUCUGCAUCCUGUGCUCCUGGAAUACUAUAUAUGAUAGCACCACAAAGCGUGGCGUUGCUCACGUACAGUACUACUUCCAGUGACAUAAUCCUUUGUGUGGUGCCUUGUUCUGAGAGAAACUGAAUGAGAAAGAGGUGCCCUGCAAAGGAUUAUUUGGCUGCACAAUGAAUGACAUCAGCAUGAUGAAUGGCAAUCUGGGGGAAGGGAUUCCACACUGUGUAUACUGCUGCCCAGUAUAGUGGUGGUGGUCAUGGGCCUGUGCAAGGUGUGACAGGCCCUUCACAGCUAGCACUACAGCCUCCACUAUCCCAGACAGCAGUAUACAGAUUUGUUCAUAGUUUUUUUUAUAGUCUGGCCCUCCAAUAGUCUGAGGGACAGUGAACUGUCCCUCUGUGUAAAAAGUUUGGGGAUCCUUGCUAUAGAAUAACGGGGAUCAAGGCCACUGAAUACUAAAUCCCCCAAUUUGAGAGGAUGCUGAAAUCUUUCAAUUUAGCCCCAGCAGUCCACACAUAAGCAAAGGGAAAGGAAUCAGAAAGUAAGAGAGGACGGAAUAUAAAGAAAAUGGGCUGAGAUGCAAACAAUUUCAAGAAAAAAAUAUAUUGAAUAAAAACCCAGGCACA